AGUCGAACGGCAGCAUGAUCUAGCUUGCUAGAUUGAUGGCGAGUGGCGAACGGGUGAGUAAUACAUCGGAACGUGCCCUGUAGUGGGGGAUAACUAGUCGAAAGAUUAGCUAAUACCGCAUACGACCUGAGGGUGAAAGUGGGGGACCGCAAGGCCUCAUGCUAUAGGAGCGGCCGAUGUCUGAUUAGCUAGUUGGUGAGGUAAAGGCUCACCAAGGCGACGAUCAGUAGCUGGUCUGAGAGGACGAUCAGCCACACUGGGACUGAGACACGGCCCAGACUCCUACGGGAGGCAGCAGUGGGGAAUUUUGGACAAUGGGCGAAAGCCUGAUCCAGCAAUGCCGCGUGUGUGAAGAAGGCCUUCGGGUUGUAAAGCACUUUUGUCCGGAAAGAAAUGGCUCUGGUUAAUACCUGGGGUCGAUGACGGUACCGGAAGAAUAAGGACCGGCUAACUACGUGCCAGCAGCCGCGGUAAUACGUAGGGUCCAAGCGUUAAUCGGAAUUACUGGGCGUAAAGCGUGCGCAGGCGGUUGUGCAAGACCGAUGUGAAAUCCCCGAGCUUAACUUGGGAAUUGCAUUGGUGACUGCACGGCUAGAGUGUGUCAGAGGGGGGUAGAAUUCCACGUGUAGCAGUGAAAUGCGUAGAGAU
This 648-nucleotide ribosomal RNA is filed under the name uncultured Ralstonia sp. Its description in RNAcentral is "bacterial SSU rRNA". It matches the Rfam family "Bacterial small subunit ribosomal RNA", at positions 60 to 697 of the family's 1533-position model. The record is from RNAcentral. Lineage: Bacteria; Pseudomonadati; Pseudomonadota; Betaproteobacteria; Burkholderiales; Burkholderiaceae.